AGGACCCCAGGAAGGGAUGAUGUUCUACUUAAGACUCAAGAAAAGGAUUCUGAGCCUCGGGCUUUGAAGGAGCCCUCUGGUCCCUGACCUUCCUCACCCAAG
Small nucleolar RNA from Cavia aperea (Brazilian guinea pig), 102 nucleotides. Ensembl annotates it as small nucleolar RNA, C/D box 124. NCBI's taxonomy places the organism in Eukaryota, Metazoa, Chordata, Mammalia, Rodentia, Caviidae. The record is from Ensembl.